UACGUAGGGGGCGAGCGUUGUCCGGAUUUAUUGGGCGUAAAGAGCUCGUAGGCGGCUUGGCAAGUCGGGUGUGAAACCUCCAGCUCAACCUGGAGACGCCACUCGAUACUGCCAUGGCUAGAGUCCGGUAGGGGACCACGGAAUUCCUGGUGUAGCGGUGGAAAUGACGCAGAUAUCAGGAGGAACACCGGUGGCGAAGGCGGUGGUCUGGGCCGGCACUGACGCUGAGGCGCGAAAGCGUGGGGAGCGAACAGG
Molecule: ribosomal RNA, 255 nt
Filed under: uncultured bacterium
Lineage: Bacteria
Description: partial 16S ribosomal RNA
Rfam family: Bacterial small subunit ribosomal RNA
Source: RNAcentral